UCCAACCAUUGAACCACAAGGCCGUGGUUUGUGUUUUCCUGUCUGUGCAAGUAUCAUCUUCUUCCCUUCUUCAUCCAUUCCAAAGCCAACUAAAAGGGCGCUGCAUCCAAACACAAGAAACAGAUGCUCUUGCGGAUCCGAAUUAAACACGUUCGGUUUUUUAAUUUAGCGAUAUUAAAUCCACGAUAACCAAAAUGUAAAUGAGAAUAAUUUAUGUUUAUCUGCUAGAUGACUGUCAUUUUUCAAACAUUAAGUCUUUAAAUCAUCUAGUACAAUGUAAUCCUCCAGAGUAUUAAAAAUAUGUCGCAUUUUUUCAUUAUUAGAAUAAAAAUAUCCCAUACUGGUCAUAUUCCAAUAACGUCAGUUAUUUACACGUCUAUGAAUAAUUUAUAUUGUAAUAAUUAUUGAAUACAUCUAGUCCAUGAAGUAUAAUAUCACACAGACAUAGGCAUAUUCGUCUUUGCAUAUAUUGGAUUUUCUGCAAUUUAUUGCAAUUUACAAGGUAAUUCCCGCUUCAAACGCAAUGUACGGUUAGUGACUUUUUAAUAAAAUGGACCAGGAUUCUGUAUAAAAAUAGCUGAAAGUAGAUGUGUUCAGAUCGACUUGACGGCGGCUAGAGAACAGCGUCUUGGAGAGAGCAAGAUUUGAUUCUUCAACAAAAGAAGAGGAAGAGUACGUGUCAAAGAUGGCGAUAUGGUUGUGUUUAAUCAUUUUGGCGGGAAUGCUGUCGCCAUCGACUCCAUUGAUUUUAUAUCAAGAUGAGAUCCAUGUUCAAGAUCGAUUUCGUGGUAAGAACUACUGUUAUGGCAAUGGUUGGAAUUAUAUCGGGACACGAAAUAGAACAGUAACUGGUCGCCAGUGUCAGAGAUGGACCCAACAGACUACAUAAUUGCACAGGCCUAUCCACUUAGGCUAAUUGGCGCUGCACAAAAUUUCUGCCGUUCCAUUGACUAUGAAGAGCCAUGGUGUUACACGAUGGAUCCAAGUUCAAGUUCAAGUUGUUUAUUGCGUUAAGUUUUCCAACUUAUCAGCAUUAUAACAAUGAAAUACAAUAUUAUGUAAAAUAGUGCGGAACAAUGGUGGAGAAUGACUUACAGAAAUACAUACACAUAUACCGAUAAAACAAUCCAUCUAUAUCUAUACACGAUGGAUCCAGACGUUAGAUGGGAAAUGUGUGGCAUCCCCAAAUGCCCAUAAUACACGCUUGAUUCUGAUGAUGUACUUCCAGAUUUGUACAAUAAUAUAACAGACAUCGAUUAUUUAAAUGAAUGAAUAAAUAAUAAUAAUAAUAAUAAUAAUAAUAAACCCUUUAGCGUUGGUUACAUCUUACGUCUUUUUUUUGUGUUGUAAUUGAGUCGUAGACGACUGCAAACUUUGCUUUAAAAUACCUUGUCCUCUUACAAUAUUGCAUGUUAUUUUAGUCCAUAAGCGUACCAGGCUGGGGAGGGGUGGUAGCAACUGCCCACUACUGCUGGAGCAAAAUCUCAAAUUCGGGCAAAAACGAUACCGAUAUUCGGGAAAAAUCAGACCUUUUUACCGUGUAGUUCACCAUCCUACACCCAGAAUUAGAUGUAAUCCCUUUAUAAAAUGCGUAGUGUUUCGUUUGCAAAACUAUAUAGAUGUUUGGUAGUAAUGCUAAUAUUAAUUAAUAUGAAUAAAUGUUUUUA
Molecule: long non-coding RNA, 1667 nt
Organism: Gigantopelta aegis
Lineage: Eukaryota; Metazoa; Mollusca; Gastropoda; Neomphalida; Peltospiridae
Exons: 3
Source: RefSeq, a predicted model, not a curated record